RNAcentral lists this ribosomal RNA (468 nucleotides) under uncultured bacterium. RNAcentral's name for it is "partial 16S ribosomal RNA". It matches the Rfam family "Bacterial small subunit ribosomal RNA", at positions 28 to 507 of the family's 1533-position model. The record is from RNAcentral.
GAUGAACGCUGACAGAAUGCUUAACACAUGCAAGUCUACUUGAAUUUGGGUUUUUUAACUUAGAUUUGGGUGGCGGACGGGUGAGUAACGCGUAAAGAACUUGCCUCACAGCUAGGGACAACAUUUGGAAACGAAUGCUAAUACCUGAUAUUAUGAUUAUAAGGCAUCUUAGAAUUAUGAAAGCUAUAUGCGCUGUGAGAGAGCUUUGCGUCCCAUUAUCUAGUUGGAGAGGUAACGGCUCACCAAGGCGAUGAUGGGUAGCCGGCCUGAGAGGGUGAACGGCCACAGGGGGACUGAGACACGGCCCUUACUCCUACGGGAGGCAGCAGUGGGGAAUAUUGGACAAUGGACCAAGAGUCUGAUCCAGCAAUUCUGUGUGCACGAUGACGUUUUUCGGAAUGUAAAGUGCUUUCAGUUGGGAAGAAAAAAAUGACGGUACCAACAGAAGAAGUGACGGCUAAAUACGUG